RNAcentral lists this non-coding RNA (35 nucleotides) under Prorocentrum micans. Lineage: Eukaryota; Dinophyceae; Prorocentrales; Prorocentraceae. The record is from RNAcentral.
UUUUUUUUUUUUUUUUUUUUUUUUUUGUCUCACUU